CCUCGGUAAUUCUAUCCUCUAUAUGCUCUAUGUAUGAGUUUCUGUGAAGACAGCCUCAGUAUAGGUAUUCUCUAGAUGCUCUAGGGGGAUGUGUUCUAGGAGGUUACUACCUCAGUAUAUAUAUCCUCUAUGUGCUCUAUACAUUAAUUACUGUGAGGUCGCCACCUCUAUAUAUGUAUCCACAUGUUGGGUUAUUUCUAGGAAUCCUAUCAAACAGCUUUACUUGCGGGAGCUGCGAUAACCAGAGCUAUAUAUUUUUUUUCUUCUCUCCUGUUUGCUCAACGCAAUACUGAACAUGAUUCCUGGAGAUCGGGAUUAACAC
Pelobates cultripes (western spadefoot toad) is the source of this 322-nucleotide non-coding RNA. The record is from the annotation of a GenBank genome assembly. Lineage: Eukaryota; Metazoa; Chordata; Amphibia; Anura; Pelobatidae.